RNAcentral lists this ribosomal RNA (1415 nucleotides) under Escherichia coli. RNAcentral's name for it is "partial 23S ribosomal RNA". It matches the Rfam family "Bacterial large subunit ribosomal RNA", at positions 791 to 2188 of the family's 2925-position model. The record is from RNAcentral. Lineage: Bacteria; Pseudomonadati; Pseudomonadota; Gammaproteobacteria; Enterobacterales; Enterobacteriaceae.
GAAAAAUUAGCGGAUGACUUGUGGCUGGGGGUGAAAGGCCAAUCAAACCGGGAGAUAGCUGGUUCUCCCCGAAAGCUAUUUAGGUAGCGCCUCGUGAAUUCAUCUCCGGGGGUAGAGCACUGUUUCGGCAAGGGGGUCAUCCCGACUUACCAACCCGAUGCAAACUGCGAAUACCGGAGAAUGUUAUCACGGGAGACACACGGCGGGUGCUAACGUCCGUCGUGAAGAGGGAAACAACCCAGACCGCCAGCUAAGGUCCCAAAGUCAUGGUUAAGUGGGAAACGAUGUGGGAAGGCCCAGACAGCCAGGAUGUUGGCUUAGAAGCAGCCAUCAUUUAAAGAAAGCGUAAUAGCUCACUGGUCGAGUCGGCCUGCGCGGAAGAUGUAACGGGGCUAAACCAUGCACCGAAGCUGCGGCAGCGACGCUGAUGCGUUGUUGGGUAGGGGAGCGUUCUGUAAGCCUGCGAAGGUGUGCUGUGAGGCAUGCUGGAGGUAUCAGAAGUGCGAAUGCUGACAUAAGUAACGAUAAAGCGGGUGAAAAGCCCGCUCGCCGGAAGACCAAGGGUUCCUGUCCAACGUUAAUCGGGGCAGGGUGAGUCGACCCCUAAGGCGAGGCCGAAAGGCGUAGUCGAUGGGAAACAGGUUAAUAUUCCUGUACUUGGUGUUACUGCGAAGGGGGGACGGAGAAGGCUAUGUUGGCCGGGCGACGGUUGUCCCGGUUUAAGCGUGUAGGCUGGUUUUCCAGGCAAAUCCGGAAAAUCAAGGCUGAGGCGUGAUGACGAGGCACUACGGUGCUGAAGCAACAAAUGCCCUGCUUCCAGGAAAAGCCUCUAAGCAUCAGGUAACAUCAAAUCGUACCCCAAACCGACACAGGUGGUCAGGUAGAGAAUACCAAGGCGCUUGAGAGAACUCGGGUGAAGGAACUAGGCAAAAUGGUGCCGUAACUUCGGGAGAAGGCACGCUGAUAUGUAGGUGAAGCGACUUGCUCGUGGAGCUGAAAUCAGUCGAAGAUACCAGCUGGCUGCAACUGUUUAUUAAAAACACAGCACUGUGCAAACACGAAAGUGGACGUAUACGGUGUGACGCCUGCCCGGUGCCGGAAGGUUAAUUGAUGGGGUCAGCGCAAGCGAAGCUCUUGAUCGAAGCCCCGGUAAACGGCGGCCGUAACUAUAACGGUCCUAAGGUAGCGAAAUUCCUUGUCGGGUAAGUUCCGACCUGCACGAAUGGCGUAAUGAUGGCCAGGCUGUCUCCACCCGAGACUCAGUGAAAUUGAACUCGCUGUGAAGAUGCAGUGUACCCGCGGCAAGACGGAAAGACCCCGUGAACCUUUACUAUAGCUUGACACUGAACAUUGAGCCUUGAUGUGUAGGAUAGGUGGGAGGCUUUGAAGUGUGGACGCCAGUCUGCAUGGAGCCG